RNAcentral lists this unclassified non-coding RNA (200 nucleotides) under soil metagenome. Its description in RNAcentral is "partial contains internal transcribed spacer 2 and large subunit ribosomal RNA". The record is from RNAcentral.
GAAUUAGUACCUCGGCUGGACUGAAAUGUAACAAGCUGGAUAAAUUGAUAAAUGCGGCUUGACCUGACGUUGUAGUGCCUAAUAAUCAACUCGUCGGGGACGCAUUAGACUUUUUAAUGAGCUUUACAAAACACGUUGCCUUAAACAAGCAAUUAGUGCAUUUUGACCUCAAAUCAGGUAGGACUACCCGCUGAACUUAA